GGGUGGUUAACUCGUGCGGGUCACGGGAGCUGAUUCGAAAUCAGAUGGUUCCAGCAAUGGGAUAGGGUUCGAUUCCCUAGCUGCCCUCCA
RNAcentral lists this transfer RNA (90 nucleotides) under compost metagenome. RNAcentral describes it as "tRNA-Ser". The record is from RNAcentral.